GACGAACGCUGGCGGCGUGCUUAACACAUGCAAGUCGAACGGCAAGGCCCUGCUUUUGUGGGGUGCUCGAGUGGCGAACGGGUGAGUAACACGUGAGUAACCUGCCCUUGACUUUGGGAUAACUUCAGGAAACUGGGGCUAAUACCGGAUAGGAGCUCCUGCUGCAUGGUGGGGGUUGGAAAGUUUCGGCGGUUGGGGAUGGACUCGCGGCUUAUCAGCUUGUUGGUGGGGUAGUGGCUUACCAAGGCUUUGACGGGUAGCCGGCCUGAGAGGGUGACCGGCCACAUUGGGACUGAGAUACGGACCAGACUCCUACGGGAGGCAGCAGUGGGGAAUAUUGCACAGUGGGCGGAAGCCGGAUGCAGCAACGCCGCGUGCGGGAUGACGGCCUUCGGGUUGUAAACCGCUUUCGCCUGUGACGAAGCGUGAGUGACGGUAAUGGGUAAAGAAGCACCGGCUAACUACGUG
Molecule: ribosomal RNA, 468 nt
Filed under: uncultured bacterium
Lineage: Bacteria
Description: partial 16S ribosomal RNA
Rfam family: Bacterial small subunit ribosomal RNA
Source: RNAcentral